GCCAAAAACUAGCCUGCACAACACACCAUAAAUUACUUCACACAAAUUAAACCAUUUACCAAAUCCAGUAUAUGAGAUAGAACUAUAAACACAGCGCAAUAGCCCAAAUCGUACCACAAGGGAACCAUGAAAGACUAAUUAAUAACCACAAGCACCGCACAGCAGGGCUAAAGCCCCGUACCUCCUGCAUCAUGGUUUAGCCAGCAGCUCGCCGACAAAGCGCCCUAUGUCCGCCACCCCG
This 241-nucleotide ribosomal RNA is filed under the name Gekko hokouensis. RNAcentral's name for it is "partial 16S ribosomal RNA". The record is from RNAcentral. Lineage: Eukaryota; Metazoa; Chordata; Lepidosauria; Squamata; Gekkonidae.